UCAGUCAUUUUAAUGAUCUCAUUUUUUUUCUUUCUGUUCAGCCCUGUUUGCGACCAGACUUCACUUCACGGGUCACUGCCUUCCCUGACUUUUCCACAAGCCGGGGAAGCCCAGCUCCUAUCUCAGAUGACUUCUCACUUGCUGCUCCAGACUCUCUGAAUGGAUCUGGUGGUGGGACUCCCCGCAGCUCAGCUGUUGUGUCCAGUCUAUGUGACUCUUCCUUGGUUUCACAUGCCAGUGAGGCACAGGCCAGAGAACAGGCCUUUAGGACAGAAUUUAACCUCAUUUACACCUGCUCUCCCCUCAAUGCUAAUCUACCCACUGGUCCAGUAAGUGACAGACACUUCCCACAAUCAGAGGGAGGCUUGUCCACGGCUGACUCUGACUUGAGCACAAUGUGCUGCCAGGGGCUGCUGAUGGAAGCAGGGUCUAGCUCUGGCUCUCUCUCAAUGUAUCUGGACACACAGUUUGGAGGUGGAUAUUCAGAGCGCAGCACAUCCCCCAACCCUAGCAAUCCACCACAGAAGAAGAAGGUCUCUCUGCUGGAGUACAGGGAAAGAAAGAAAGGGCCAAGGGACCCAGCGCCUCAUGUCACAAACCUCAGCUCCAUUUUUCUUCGCACAGAGUCUCCAGGACAGCCGCGCACGCAUUUUCAGCCUUCAGUCUCUCCGCACAAUUCGUUCUCUCCAGAACGACAAGCUUUUCCACAGAUAGAGGAGGUCAGUCCUCCUGGCAUCAGGUCUGGAAACCACACACAGACCACAGUGCUGGGCGGACCGGAGUCCAACCACUGGAUGGUCCCUACAUCAGUUGAGCGGUUGAGGGAGGGACAGAGUGCUCUGGAGCGUGUUCUGAGGGGUAAUCUGAACAUAGAGCGUGCCCUUAAUAGAGGAGAUGCUGGAAUUAAUUACCAAAUCAGCAGUCGUGCCACGAGCUCUGAUGCUGUUGAGAUGGACAGGUUUGAUCUUCAAAGCUCAUCUCUGGCCUCUCCCUUAAAAAGUCCUUCGCUUCAUCCACAUCAGCAGAUGCUGCCUCUCCAGCCAGAAUCCCAUCAGCAUUUGGAAAGCCCAGCCUACGACCAGCAGAGCUCCUCCUCUCCAUUCUGUCCAUCUGUAAGCCCCUCCCCUCCCCGCUGCAGCUCUGGGGGGCCAGGUUACUAUCCUUCAAAGCUGCCCACACACAGCCCGCUCACCCAAGAAAGCCCAUCCUCUUCUACAGUAUCUAUCUCCUCAGUGGACUCAACAAUAUGUGUGUCACAUCCUCACAGCAGCAGUGGAGGUGGAAUGGACACCUCAAGCCUUAAAGCUAAACUGUUGGACAGCUCCCUGUCUGCUGCUCUCUCUCCCCCCACCAGAGGCCACCUUAAAAUGGACAGCGCUGCAGUACCACACACACAAGGUGCUCAUGGCUCCAGAUUGGCUCAGUCGUCCAGAGUCCACAGCCAGAGAACAGACAGACCCAGUCAGGCUAACUCGAGACAUCUCACAGCUUCUGGAGCACAGCACUAUCCACAACGAAAUUUACAGGGUUCAGGAGUAUGGACACAGUCGGGGACCUUUUAGGACCCACAGUGUGCGUGUAUAUGUAUAUGUCUGUGUGUGUGUGUGUGUGUGUGUGCGUGUGUGUCAGAAAGAGAAGUGUGUGACAUCCUCCUCGCUUUUACCUGUGGAGAAGCUAUGCGUUGUUAGAGGAAAUUGAUGUAUUGAGUUCUUUAUGGAUGGUCUAUUUUUGUCUUUACUUUCCCCAGUUCCUUUUAUCUUUUUCCAAAAACUGAAUUUCUGCAGUUACAUGUAACUUAGUGUGGACUUCAUAACAAUCAAAUCAAUGGAACAUUAAAGUAACUAGUUUGGAGUAUAUAAUCAGAUUUAAAUGUAUUUUGAAAAUUCACCCAAAUGCUACAAUGAUGUGUUCACACUGAAGUGCAAGUAUUUAAGAGUAAGAGGAAAAUUUGAGCACCAGUGGUGAAACAAAACCGUUUCUCUAAAAGUAGCGUUCUCAUGUUUAAGACUUCUCUAAGAGUAAAAGUGAUCAUGCUGAUCUUAGAUGAGUUUUCAACUUUUUAUGUAUAAUGAAUGAUAUAAUGACCGUAUGAAAUGGCACUCUUUAAGAUGCUUUGCAAACUUGACUCGGAGUGCACUCUCCUGUUUUCAGUUUUAUCAGUAGACGUCAUCAGAACAGUCAUGUAGUGUGUUCAUGGUUGGCACGCUUGGCUCAGAGCAAAGUGUUUUUGAAUGCACAUGAAAGCAAUUCUUAGUGAACAGUGAGUUAUUUUCUCACUCUAAAUCAUUCCAGUGUCUAGCUGUCAUUAGGGUCCGACAGGCCUCUAGCCUGUUGACUUCUCCUAUUAGUGUCAUCAAAAUCACUAUUCACUUGAAAUAUAAUACUUGACAAGCAGAUCUUAUGGUGCUUCAGUUGGUCCAGUUGAAUUGUUUAUUUUGUUUCCCAGUGUGAUCACAGUUGCCUCUUAAGGUAAAAACAUGCAAUUGUCAGUUCAAACGUUGUUUUUUAAUUUGUUUCCAAUGAUUGUUAAAGACCCUAUCUGUGACUCGCAAAGUGCAGGACUUUGCCGAAAAGAAUUUGCAGAAAUGUUUUUGUUUAUACUCCGUUAAAAAAAUGUGUACCCUCCCAAGCCCUUUAAUCCUAAGUGUAUACUUCAUUUCUCUCACUUCAUGCUCUUCAUUUGAUUUUCUCUCCUUGACCAGUCCUUGCAUUCCAGCCACCAUUUUAGGAAGGAAGAAAGGAAAGAAAUGCUAUGGCCAAAUGGUUUGAUCAGUAAAUAAUUUUUUAUUUACAAGAAGCUGCUCACAGGACAGCCUUUUUAGCAGAUAGGCAUAGUGCUGUACCUCACUUGGAUGAUACCUUUCUUAAACAGUAAGGUUGCCAUGAUGACCACAGUAGUGGGAUAUUUAAACCCCACUUCAAACAAAACCGAUGCCCCUUGCAUUUGGAGAAUCAAAGUUGUCUGCUUGGUGGAUUAUUCUAGCGUGGUCCAACAGUAGAAAAGAUUAAGUCUGUUUUUGUUUUGGCCUAGUGUGAAAAGAUCUUGAAAUGAUGACGGGUUAAUGUGGUCAGCCUUAGCUCACUGGUUUAUAUGAAUGUCUCUUGAAAAGGAAAAAAAAAAAAAGACUAUGUGAUCUGAAAUUUACCAGCACCUUGACUACAUGAUCAUGUGUACUUGGGUGAAGUGUUAUUCUGUUCUCAGAGAAAUAUAGUACACCAAAUUUGCUGCAUGAUAUUUAUUUUGUGUCAUUCUAACAGUCUACGGUUGGGUUUAUGGGAUAAGGUUUUGGUUGACUAACCUCUUUUUAACCCCACAAACAUUUGGCACUUUUCUAGUAUCCAUAGACAUAUUUUUGUUGUAUUUUUUUUACACCUAAUUUGAACCCUUCCCCUUUUCAUGACAUAAGUUGCAUCACAUUUUGCUUUUUAAAUAAAAUGUUUGUGAACAUUUUUAAAACUAGUUUUAGCUUUUGCUGAACAUUGGUUGCAUGGAAAGAGCUCAGAGUGAUUGAUAACAAUGGUUUGUUUCCAUUUAUCCAUUAAUAUAACAUUUUAAAAACACCCUAUGGAGUAAGCGCAAAAUAAGGUCUAUGGUGGGCCUUAAAAAUCUGGCCUCAUUGUACUCAUUACCCUUUUUAAACUGGCUAUUACGAUCUGAAUUUGGGCAAUCCUAUCACAAGUGUACAAUGCUCAAUACAAGUCUAAAUGAUGUCCGAAAUAGUCAGUUUGUCUACUUUCAUUUGAAGGUGAUAGAAAAUACAUGUGACCACAUGGCAAUCAUACUAAAAACGCCGAUGUAGUCAAAUGUUUUUGAACAGCUGUAAAGGACCAUCUACUCACACAAAACGGG
Molecule: long non-coding RNA, 3850 nt
Organism: Sinocyclocheilus anshuiensis
Lineage: Eukaryota; Metazoa; Chordata; Actinopteri; Cypriniformes; Cyprinidae
Source: Ensembl